UUCUAAAAUGGCAGAAAAGUGCAAUGGAUUUAAGCUCCAUAUAUGAAGAUCUUAUGUCUUCUUUUAGAAU
This 70-nucleotide transfer RNA is filed under the name Mesacturoides brevisquamatus. RNAcentral's name for it is "tRNA-Leu". The record is from RNAcentral. Lineage: Eukaryota; Metazoa; Arthropoda; Malacostraca; Stomatopoda; Takuidae.